CAUAACACAUUUUUUACCACAUGUGACCGAACAAUGUUAGCAAAAAGAGAUUGGAUAUAUAGGGAUGGUACAGAUAACGUAUAUAUGUCUAACGAUAAUAUAACACCUUGCUUUAAUAGUCAGGUAGCUAAUAUUAAUGAAGACAAAAAUGUAAUGAUUACAAAAUUAAUAAAUUUAUUAAAAACAAAAACUACUGCAAAAAUUGAACAUUAUUUUUUGGAAAUUCAAAACGACGUUGGAGAUUAUUGCAAUAAUAAUGAUAAUGAUAAUGCUAUGCAAAUUAGUGAAGAACGUAAAAACCUUUUUGAAAAUAUAAAUAAAAUAGAUAAAAAUAAUAUACAAAAAAAAAAAAAAAAAAUAGAUAUAAAAAAAAAUGAAGACGAUAGUAUAAUAUCAGAUAAAGACGAAAAUAAAGACAAAAAACAACUAGAUGAAAAUAGCUCGAGUCAUACUUUACUUAUUAACGAAAUAGAUAGUAACAAUGGUAACAUUAGUAGUAGUAACAAUAAUAGUGUUAUUAGUAGUACCGGUAGUAGUUGUUACUUACCUGAACCGAAAGAAGUAUAUUCAUAUUUAUAUAAUCAACACUUAAAUGAAAUUCAUAAAAAUAUGUUCGAAUCAACAUCUAGUGGCAUAAAAUAUAAAUACGAAAAAUGUCAAAAGGAUGAAGAGGAUGAUGAUCAGAGAUUAACGUCAAAUAGCGAAUUUUAUAAUUUGGUAAGUAAUAAGAAUGAAAUGAAUUUUUCUUUUAAACAAAACUUGGUUAUGAAUAACUCGGAAAAAAAUAACCCAACUGGUGAAGUAACGGGAAACGAAGUUAUAUUAACAAACAAACCAGAAAAGUCACUUUUUACUAAAAAUGACGAUACUAAUAGGUUAAAACAAGUUAUUUAUACUACCCCUCUUAAAAAUAAUAACAAUGUUAUAACUGAAAAAAAUGUCGUAGUUAAUAAGAACAUGUUAAGUGAAACGAAUGCCGUGAGUAGUAAAAAAUAUACGAAUUGUGCAAAUUUAUCCAAAACACACAUACCAAAAAAUAAUAAUAACAAGAAUAAAGAAAAAAUGCUUCUUGAGAGUUUUGCUUUAAAAAAACAAAACAAAACAAAAACUGAUUGUGAAAUUGUUAAAAAUAAAUUUAAUAUAUUGUGUGAGUCACAAAAAAAAAUGGCUAAAAUGGAAGCGCAAAAAAGACCAACAACAGUAGCAGAAGCGGUAGUAGAAGGAAAAGCCAAAUCUAAAUCUAAAUCCAAAUCUAAAGGCAAAGCCAAAGCCAAAGCAGAAACAGAAACAGAAACAGAAACGGAAACAACUAAAAAAAUGACAACUACUCAAGCUGUAAUAAAUAAAGAAAAUAAAAAUGAUACUGAACAGUACACAGAACAAAAAUUAAUAGCC
This 1395-nucleotide long non-coding RNA is filed under the name Piliocolobus tephrosceles (Ugandan red Colobus). RNAcentral describes it as "lncRNA (ENSPTEG00000012066.1)". Lineage: Eukaryota; Metazoa; Chordata; Mammalia; Primates; Cercopithecidae. The record is from RNAcentral.